RNAcentral lists this ribosomal RNA (253 nucleotides) under uncultured bacterium. Its description in RNAcentral is "partial 16S ribosomal RNA". It matches the Rfam family "Bacterial small subunit ribosomal RNA", at positions 524 to 776 of the family's 1533-position model. The record is from RNAcentral.
UACGUAGGGCGCAAGCGUUGUCCGGAAUUAUUGGGCGUAAAGAGCUCGUAGGCGGCCUGUUACGUCUGCUGUGAAAUCCCGGGGCUUAACCCCGGGCGUGCAGUGGAUACGGGCAGGCUGGAGGCAGGCAGGGGAGAACGGAAUUCCCGGUGUAGCGGUGAAAUGCGCAGAUAUCGGGAGGAACACCGGUGGCGAAGGCGGCGAUCUGGGUAGAUACUGACGCUGAGGUGCGAAAGCGUGGGGAGCAAACAGG